GUGUAUUUGGUGUUGUGUGAACCAUUUGAGGUGUCACACUUGGGGCACUAGGCACUCAAGCUUCAUGAAGACUUUCUACAUCAAAGAGGUAUGUAUUCUAUCUUGUUACACUCAUUGUUUUGUAUGCUAGAUUAGGAUAAUACCUUGGAAGUUCUUAUUUGCAUGUAUAAUAGAGAAAACAUAGAUCCAAGGUAUUUAGGGUUGCAUGUACACUUAGGAGUGUUAGAAUGCUCAAAACCCAACAGUGGUAUCAGAGCCUAGGCUUGUUUUCUUGUUAUACCUGCAAUAGAAGCUGAAAAAACGAAUCUGGUGCUGUCUGGCCAUCAGACUCGGCGAGUCCAUCAGGAGACUCGGCGAGUCCAUGCCUAAAAAGUGAUGAAUUCGAUCCAACUCGCCGAGUUGGUUCAUGCACUCGACGAGUUGGACCCCCAGACAGCAUAUUUUCGAGUUUUUUGGCUAGAAAUGGACUAGGAACAUUACCCUAAGUUGUUUUUGAACUUAUAAACUUGUUUUUGAUGUGGUAAUGUUCAUGCUAAUCCAUUUUCAAAGAUAAUUGUCAAUAGAUUCAUGUUUUGUAUUAGUUUAAGGUUUAGACUAAUUACAUGAAAAAGUUUGAUUUGAAUUAUCUUGUUCUUAUGAGUUGCUUAGAUUAAUAGAAAAGUUGAGUGAAAUAGUUGUUUUCAAUCCAAAUUAAUCUAAGAGUUGAUUCUAAAAUGUGUUUUUGUAACUUGUCCUCAAGUUAUAUGAAAAGUCACAUUUAAGUUUCAUAAAACUCAUAAAAGUUGGCAAAGGUUACAAAAAAUGAAGAGUCUUGUCCUUAAGUUAUGGAGGUUCAAGAGUCACUUCAUUAAUAAAUAAAUAAAUAAAGUGUAACCUUAAUUAAUUCCAUAAGUUAUAAAAUAAAGAAAAGUUAAUUCUUUUAUUAGUUUAAAGUCUUCCAUAACUUGUCCUCAAGUUAUGGAACUUGAAGAGUUUUUGGAUUAAAACUACUUUAAACACAUAAGUUAUGGAAUUAAUUAGUUUUGAAUAGUUUCAAAACUUGCCCUCAAGUUUUGGAAUUUGAAAAGUUUUCACUUAUGAAUACUUUAAUUCCAAGUUAGCCCUUAGAAUUUUAAAAGUUAAAAUUCAACCCUUAUACUUUAUAAUAUUAUAAGUUAAUAAUAUAUAUAUGUAUAAGAGUAAAGUCAGUCUUACCGCUAGUACGCCUCAUUCACGAAGCCGGUCUAUAAGGUGGGUAUAAGGUUGUUGCCUAUAAAAUGGCAACUUAAUGGGUGUCCACUCUCACCCACCGCUUGCUUGACUGGUGGAGGGUCGUUAGCCGAACGGGUUUGACAGGACUAGAAUUCUCCCUUCAUUAAAAGUAUUAAUGAUAAUACUAAGUAACUAAACUCUUAAUAAUACCCAAUCUUAGUUACUUAGGAAAAAUGUGAAUAAGGUGCUAAUCCAUGAAAUUACACUUUACACUUUGUCUAAGUCGUUAGUGGAGCGUGUGUGGUUAACCGGCACACUAACUUGGACUUAACAAGGUAGGUAAAGGGUGACUUAAUAUUUAUCAUAGUAUCGAUGGAGCGUGUGUGGUUAACCGGCACAUCGAUUGAGGGGUAAUUUAUUAAGGGUACCAAGUGAUUUGCAUGGUUACUUCACACCUUGUUUUGUGAUCCUCGGCAUCCCAGUCACAAAACCUGAAGGGCACACUCGAGAUUGAAACAUGCCUUUGAAAAGUUCAAUGAAUCUCAAAGAUCUAGGAGUUUCAAAACCAAUUAAAACCUAAUAAUACAUUUCGUUUAUCUUGGUGGAAAUUGGUGAAUCGUCAUUCACCUACCUUCAAAUAUUUUAUAGCUUGGAUUACGGCAUACCUCUUCUAAGUUAUAAAAUAGUUUGUUGGGUCCUAGCCUUAAUAUUUCAUAUUGGGUGUCAUAUUAAGGACUUUAAAUCAACUAUCUUGAAUAUCUCCCAAAAGAUGUCUGGUUUAGACACCUAUGAUCUUCCCAAAUCUCUUGAAACAAGGUUUCCUAAUGAAGAUGAUGUCCCAUGGAUAUCAUACUUCUUCACCUCUUCAAAUUAUUCUCCCUAACCCACAAGUUCUUGAAAAGUUUAAGGUCACUCAGGCCCUAUUGGCAAGGCAAGGUCUAGGUGUGGUCACAUCUUGGAGAUGUAGUCACAUAUUGACAAGCCGGGAGAGUUGGGUGUCAAAGUCUUGAGAAAGUUGGUGGUUCAACCACUUUCUAAGUCACAUAGUGAGUUCCUUUGGGACACCUAUGAAACAGACUAUGACAAGACCCUUAAUGAUCUUAUCUAUUUGCUAAGAUCAACUUCCUAAAACUUUAUGGACAUUGACAAUGAUGACAUUGGAUAUCCAGUAAAGCAUUCUCUUCCCAAUGGAAAGGGAUCGGCCAUAGUCAACUCGGUUGACCAAAUGGUAAAGAGAAAAGCUAAGUCUGUGAUAGUCUCGUGUACCAUUAUCAAAGGGUCCAUAUGUUUAUAUUGCCAAAGGAAGGGGCAUUGGUUGCGAAGCUGCCAAAUUUACCUAAGGAUGUUAAAGUCAAUAAGUUUGACUCUACUUCAGGUAAAGUCCACUAUCUAACUCUGUUAAGUUUCUAUUCUGAGAUUCUUGAUACAUGAUGUGACUGGGUCACAUGGUGAUGUUUUAAGAAUCAAAGAAAAGUGAAGAAACUUAAAGAAAGAAUAUGCUGAAUCUGAUGGCGUAGAUGGAUUUCUAUCGCAUAGUUUGAAGAUCGGAUUCUUGAGCUACUUCUUAGGAGUUAUGAGAUAUUGCUUAGGAAUAGAUAACAACAAGUUUUCAUAUGGAUUGUAAGGAUAAGUUUUUCCGCAAAGUUUUAAAAUAAAAGAAAAUUUUUUUUUUUAUUUAUUUUAAAAUAUCCUUACAAUGGCAUUUGAGGAAAAAUUGUUGCUUAUAUGAUUCCAUUAAGAGCAAGAGUGGAAAUAUGAAAUUGAUUCUUUCAUUUGUGGUAAUGUCUAAAUUUACCAAAUAAGGAAAGAUUCUCAUCACCCAAGUUUCAAUUGGACCGGAACUUGGAAUCAUGCAAGUUGUAUAGCAUGAUGAAUGAGAACUUUCAAGUUUUGGAAAAUUAAGACUAAUUACUUGUUCACAUGGAUGUGUGAGUCAAGUAAAGGACUUAGGGAUCGAGUACACAUUCUUGUGCACUGAUUAAGUCCACCACUAAAGAUCGAUAAGAAGAAUCAAAUAAGGCAGAAGGAUAAAAGUUUCUCAAAUCUGAAAAGAUGGGAGAGUACUUUAGUAUCAGUUUUGUGAUCAUCUUAAUGAUUAAGAAACCAUAUCAAAAUUAGUUCUCUAAGGAAAUCUUAGUGCAUUCUUAUGACUAAGAAGAGGAACUUGAAUUGUUGAAAUGGUUAAAUCAAGAAGAUGAGUCAUACUUCGUUCCAAUACAAGUCUUAGAGUCAUACUCCAAGAUUGUAAUUUGAGUGACAUGUCUUAAAGAAGGUUUAAAACACUUGUCAAAUGUAAGAGUAAAAGUUUUCUACUCUUGUACAUUUGAAAUUGGUAAGUUGUGAUAUUUUGGAUAAAACAAAGACCAACUUAGGCCAAUUGUGUGAAGUCUUUCUGUUGAUUAGAAUCCGCACUAUCUCUUGAAUAACUGACAAGAAAGUCUUAUAUGUCAAGAGGAAAGUGCGAGUCUUAAAGGUCUUGAAAGUCUCAAGAACUAAUCAACAAUAAAACCUGAAGUUCUUCAGUAGCACACGACUUGAGAUUUAUAACCUAUCGUGUUGACAUAUUCUGUGCCCAUUCCAGUUAAAGUUGGCUUUGCAUAAGAGUUCUUAGAGUUCUCAAUUUGUUGCACAUCAACGUGGAAGCAAUGGCAGGCCCUUGAGCUACCAGGUGGCAAGAAAUUAAGAUUGAGUUCAAUCCAUAUGAGUUUGGAUUUGUCAUUAUCCUUGCCUUGUGACUAUGGUUUUGACAAUUCACAUGGAUAAGAACACAUACACCAUUAAAUAUAAGUCUCAUAAGGUUUCUCUCCGAUUCAUGAAGAUGAUGGUGUGGAAACACUUUCACUAAGUAGAUUUUAGCUAGAUAGCAAUUGUGAUAUAUGCAUUCUCAAAGUCGUUAGUGGAGCGUGUGUGGUUUACCAACACACUAACCUGGACUUGUGAGAAGUGGCAAAAAAGUCUAACCAUUAUGAUUACGGCAACCCUCUUCAUAAUUGUUUAGACACACAAGUAUGCUAUCUAAGGGAAGGUGUACGAUUUUGAUAAAGUCUUAUCAAAACAAUCUAUAUCAGAAAUCUGAACUUUGGUAAGAAAGUCAGCUGAUUUCUGAGUACAUGUCAAAGCUAGUGGGAGCAUAAGUGUUAUGCUAAUAAUCAUCAUGUUAGUGGGAGCAUGAUAAUUAUGAUAAGUACUGCAAGUUAGCAAUGUUAAUUAUAGAAAACAAAAGUUUCAAUUGGGAAAAAGUUGUUUUGCUAUAAUUAAGGGAGAGGAAAUUAUGCUUCAUCUCAAAUCUAUAAGCUUAGAUCGUGAGGUUUUAAUCAUUUAGUCAAGGAUAUAUAUGAAUUUCAUGUUGGAAUGGCUCAACAUAAGGAAAUUCUGUAUAUGGGUCCAUUAUUUGCGUUCUAAAAUUCGAUUAUGAUUACGGCAUCCCUUUUCAUAAUCUGAAUUAUGAGAACUUGGCAAAUUGAAAUGGAAAUAUUAUAGCAAAAGACUGGUUUAGUCUUUAUGUAAGACAUCAUGAAUCGUGUCCCAUAUGCUUCGGAUAUAGGAUCGAUUACAUGUGCUAUAUUCAUCCGUUCUAAAAUUUUCCAAAUGCCUGGGGCAUUAAGAAGGGAAAAGGUUUAGAACUGGAUAUGACUAAAAGGAUUAAACAAUUGUCGAGGACAAUCUAAGGUUUACCAAAGAUUGGUUGCUCAAGGACAAUUGGAAGUAUAGUGAUAAUUCUGGAAGGACCAUAUUGACAUAAUCUGUAAGGAGGCAACUCUUGUUCAGAAGUGAUAGUCAAAAUGGAAUCUGGAAAUGUUUCAAAGUUAGAAUUUUCAAUCUGUGUAAGAUUAAGGAAACUUAAUGCAAGAAGGAUAUUUCCAAGGAGUUGAUCUCCUUUGGAAUACUCUGUAAUGAUUGUUGCCAAGUCUUUGUGACUUUGUGCAUAAUCGUUACAAGAGGAUCAAUGCAUAUAAGUUUAGAAUCUAACAGAUUUCAGUAAAUGGCAUGAAUUUGGAAUUCUUGCAUUUGCAGUAAGGAUUUGGGAGUGUGAAAAGAGAAUCAUUGAAGUUAUGUUCAAUUGAUCUAGUUCACAAAGUAAAGAUCAUAGACAAACAUAGUAUGCAUACUUGGUGUGUGGCAUGACUAGUGUUUAAGAAAACAUAGUGUACAUGCUUGGAGCAUGGGACAACUAUUGUUUUAAAUUCAAGAAUAAAGUUGAUAGCUGAAACAGUAUACAAUGAAUAAUGUGUAAUCAUAUGGUGAUAAAUAAAAGGUGUUUUAUUUAUGUUCAAAGGGUUGAUACCAUAUUGGAUUCAAUUAUUAUUGUGUUUCACUUUGCAUGUUUUGACUUCCCGAAUAAACUGGGUUAUUCUUCCGGAAUGACUAAGUUAUUCAAACCAUCCACAGUCGGUCAUAUUUUGGAAGUAGAUAUGAAUCAUUGUCAUGGGUUGGCUUGUAGGGUCUAAGGUGUUGGACAUUGGGCUGCAACACUCAUGAGUGCUCAUAAGUUCUGAGUAUUGGAUUCAACCCGCGCUCAUUGGAAUCACUUCAUGGAUUUUAUCACGAGUGAUCAUGAGACGAUAAUAUCUUAUAUUCUUCAAACCUAGAGAUAUGAGUUGUUACUAUGAGUUGAUAGUACAUUGAUUGCACGAAAACGCAUUUGGUAACUCGGUGCUAUAAAACGUGCCUUUGUGUAUGAUUCAACAAGUAGUAGAACAAGCCAUAUGAGUCGAAGUUUAUCCAUUCCUUUUACCUUCGGGAUAAAAGCGAUAUCUGUGGGCCCCUCGAUGAUUUGAUGAUGACAAAUGGAAGUGCUCGGCCGGGCCAGGACUGAUUUGAUUUGUUCAAUUAGUCAGUCGUCAUAAAUCGGAAAUCGGGAAACAACAAAUGGACAGAGAGAAUGAUUAUAAUCCAUGUCUCAGUCCAUAUGAUAUCUAGAAUGGAGGAAUAUAUGAUCCCUUAUCUAAUGGACAAGUCAUUGACAAAGGUCAGAGUUCAUCUACAAGGUCAGAGUUCGACAGAAGCUUUUGAGAGCUACGAUUGCCAGUUGGUUCCUGAAGUCAUACGCAAUAAUAGUUUUAGACUUAUCCAAGUGGGAGACUGUUGGAUUAAUGUCUAAGUCCAUAACUAUAAUUGGUAAGACUUGACCCGACCCGGCAUGGUCCAUUUGGGUUGCAUGGCAUCAUGCACUUGGAUAGACUAUAAUGAGAGAAAUAAGACACUUAUGGUUAUUAAUAUAUUAUAAGUUCUAGUAUAUUAAUAAUAAGAAUAAUAAGAUUAUUUAAUUAGUAUUGAUCAAGAAUUAAUCUAGGAUUAAUUAAGUGAUCAAAAGAAGACUAAUUAAAUAUAUGGGUUGAUUGUGUAAAUCAUCCAUACUUGUAUAGUGGGCUAAUGCUCCAUGGAUAAUCAAGUUGGGCUAAAACCCAUAGGAUGGUCCAUGGAUGCUCCAUGGUGUAUUUGAACCCAUGGAUCCAAGGAAAUGGAAAGUCAUGACAAUUAGGGUUUACCCUAAUUGUAACACUAUAUAAAGAUCUUAUUCUUGACAAAAAUCGGCCACUAGUGUGAGUAAUGGAAGGGCUAGCCGAUUUCAUGAAGUGUAGAUUUCUCUCAAGUUAUUCCAAGUGUAUUUGGUGUUGUGUGAACCAUUUGAGGUGUCACACUUGGGGCAGUAGGCACUCAAGCUUCAUGAAGACUUUCUACAUCAAAGAGGUAUGUAUUCUAUCUUGUUACUCUCAUUGUUUUGUAUGCUAGAUUAGGAUAAUACCUUGGAAGUUCUUAUUUGCAUGUAUAAUAGAGAAAACAUAGAUCCAAGGUAUUUAGGGUUGCAUGUACACUUAGGAGUGUUAGAAUGCUCAAAACCCAACAGUGGUAUUAGAGCCUAGGCUUGUUUUCUUGUUAUACUUGCAAAACAAGCUGGAAAAUCAAGUUUUGAUGCUGUCUGCCUAGCAGACUCGCCGAGUCCAUGAAUGGACUCGCCGAGUCCAAGGAAAAAUGCAUCCAACUCAUCACCCUGUGACCAACCUCACCUCCAACGGAUUGGGGUGCGACUUCUCCGCUGAUACAACAGCUCAAAUGGUGGAGCACGAUACUAGAAUGAAAGUUGUUGGUGUAGGAGAACUCUGCAAGCGGUAGGCAGGAGUCCCAGCUCCCACCAAAAUCAAUGACAUAGGCCCACAACAUAUCCUCGAG
RNAcentral lists this long non-coding RNA (7362 nucleotides) under Lactuca sativa (garden lettuce). RNAcentral's name for it is "long non-coding RNA (LSAT_LNC008981)". The record is from RNAcentral. Lineage: Eukaryota; Viridiplantae; Streptophyta; Magnoliopsida; Asterales; Asteraceae.